AGUGAACGCUGGCGGUAGGCCUAACACAUGCAAGUCGAACGGCAGCACAGUAAGAGCUUGCUCUUACGGGUGGCGCGUGGCGGACGGGUGAGGAAUACAUCGGAAUCUACUUUUUCGUGGGGGAUAACGUAGGGAAACUUACGCUAAUACCGCAUACGACCUACGGGUGAAAGCAGGGGAUCUUCGGACCUUGCGCGAUUGAAUGAGCCGAUGUCGGAUUAGCUAGUUGGCGGGGUAAAGGCCCACCAAGGCGAUGAUCCGUAGCUGGUCUGAGAGGAUGAUCAGCCACACUGGAACUGAGACACGGUCCAGACUCCUACGGGAGGCAGCAGUGGGGAAUAUUGGACAAUGGGCGCAAGCCUGAUCCAGCCAUACCGCGUGGGUGAAGAAGGCCUUCGGGUUGUAAAGCCCUUUUGUUGGGAAAGAAAAGCAGCAGGUUAAUACCCCGCUGUUCUGACGGUACCCAAAGAAUAAGCACCGGCUAACUUCGUG
This 492-nucleotide ribosomal RNA is filed under the name uncultured bacterium. RNAcentral's name for it is "partial 16S ribosomal RNA". It matches the Rfam family "Bacterial small subunit ribosomal RNA", at positions 29 to 507 of the family's 1533-position model. The record is from RNAcentral.